AUGAUGGGCGAUGAGACGACACCAUCCGACUUUAUGGAUGAGGAGUACUACAUGUUUCGCGGAGAAGGAUCCGAUAAUGACACCUUGGAGGAUCACGAGGAAGCAAUCAUGUCGUCUGCUAUACCUAGCAUGGUUGAUCCAUUAGACUUUGUCUACACAAACAUCCCAGACACCACUCACAUCCUGAAGCUCGACGCAAACUGCAAACACUGCAAGUCCAAAAAGUUUGUGUCUGAGACUGACGGUUUCUGCUGUCGCAAUGGCCAGAUCGAACUUAAACAACCGGAGCCAAUCCCAGAGCUGAUGAGGCUAUGGUCAAGCAUGGAUGCAGAUUCUAGACACGGCACCAUCUACCACAAUGUGCAUUCUUUCGGGCCUAGCUCCCGUCCUGAGCACCUGCAGUUGUACUUCUAUGAUGAUGACCCAACCAUCACUCUUCAUUAG
RNAcentral lists this ribosomal RNA (444 nucleotides) under Triticum aestivum (bread wheat). RNAcentral's name for it is "partial small subunit ribosomal RNA". Lineage: Eukaryota; Viridiplantae; Streptophyta; Magnoliopsida; Poales; Poaceae. The record is from RNAcentral.